GCCGGCAGCCAUAUCACCCUGUAGCCCAAGCCUGGUUGCCCACUGAAGCUAAGCAGGGUGAGCCUGGUCAGUACAUGGAUGGGAGACCUCCUGGCAAAGCUAGGUUGCUGCUGGAA
This 116-nucleotide ribosomal RNA is filed under the name Sinocyclocheilus anshuiensis. The record is from RNAcentral. Lineage: Eukaryota; Metazoa; Chordata; Actinopteri; Cypriniformes; Cyprinidae.